GAUGAACGCCGGCGGUGUGCCUAAUACAUGCAAGUCGUACGCACUGGCCCAACUGAUUGAUGGUGCUUGCACCUGAUUGAUGAUGGAUCACCAGUGAGUGGCGGACGGGUGAGUAACACGUAGGUAACCUGCCCCGGAGCGGGGGAUAACAUUUGGAAACAGAUGCUAAUACCGCAUAACAAUAAAAGCCGCAUGGCUUUUAUUUGAAAGAUGGCUUUGGCUAUCACUCUGGGAUGGACCUGCGGUGCAUUAGCUAGUUGGUAAGGUAACGGCUUACCAAGGCGAUGAUGCAUAGCCGACCUGAGAGGGUGACCGGCCACACUGGGACUGAGACACGGCCCAG
RNAcentral lists this ribosomal RNA (343 nucleotides) under uncultured bacterium. Its description in RNAcentral is "bacterial SSU rRNA". It matches the Rfam family "Bacterial small subunit ribosomal RNA", at positions 28 to 334 of the family's 1533-position model. The record is from RNAcentral.